RNAcentral lists this unclassified non-coding RNA (279 nucleotides) under Exophiala bergeri. RNAcentral's name for it is "partial contains 5.8S ribosomal RNA, internal transcribed spacer 2, and large subunit ribosomal RNA". The record is from RNAcentral. Lineage: Eukaryota; Fungi; Ascomycota; Eurotiomycetes; Chaetothyriales; Herpotrichiellaceae.
CGCACAUUGCGCCCUUUGGUAUUCCGAAGGGCAUGCCUGUUCGAGCGUCAUUAUCACCCCUCAAGCCCCCGGCUUGGUGUUGGACGGUCUCGGUCGGUGGCCUCGCCCCGACCCCUCCCAAAGAUAAUGACGGCGGCCUCGUGGGACCCCCGGUACACUGAGCUUCUUCAUUGAGCACGUACUGGAUCUAGGGUCGCCGAGCCCCGGUCGACGACGCCUCUUGAGGUGUCUUCUUUCUAGGUUGACCUCGGAUCAGGUAGGAAUACCCGCUGAACUUAA